Cairina moschata (Muscovy duck) is the source of this 1632-nucleotide long non-coding RNA. The record is from Ensembl. Lineage: Eukaryota; Metazoa; Chordata; Aves; Anseriformes; Anatidae.
UUUAUUACUUCUGCCACGACAGCACCUCAAAACGCUGCCGUAUCAGCAGGGGCAGACGUGCCGGCGAGCCCACGCAGGACGCGUUACGGCCACAGCCGGCGACCCGCCCGCCAGUCGGCUCUGCCUAGGAAAGAGAAGGGGCCGGGCCGGGCCGGGCCGGGCAGUGCCCAGCACCCGCCUCCCGACCGCCUCCCGCGGCUCGGAGGUCCUCCAGGAAGCGCCGCCCGGCAGGGAAGGGCCGCGGAAGCUUUCGGCGGGGAAAGGGAGCGGGGACGGCGGCGGAGCGCAGGCCUCGGCCGCCCUCCGGCCCCAGAGCGGGCCAACGGAGCCAGGCCCGGCAGCGGCGCGGCUUCUCACGCUCCGCGCCCGGGCAGCUGCUCACCUGCGGGCCUCGGCGUCUCUCGCAUAGCGGGCCCCAGUCCCGGCUGCAGCGCUCGAUAUGACUCCUGAAUCCUCAAGCUGAUGAAAAGCAGAAGAGCAAGUGGGCUACAGAGUCUGUCUCUGCUGACAAGUGGUAUCAGUGAUAAGCUCGGAGUGAACCAAAGGAUGAAUUUAUCAAGGUGCAUGUACAGACAAGACUUCCUCUGAUGUAUGAUAGCUUCUUGUCAAAGUCUUGGAAACAUUCUGGCAUGGGGGUAGAAAACUGGGAGUAAAUGAAGAAUGCAACAGAAUUAUAAAUUUGAGAAUAGUCUUGGGAGAGAGAAAGGCCAUAUUUGCUCUGGAACAGAGAGGUACAUAUAUGUUGGGACAGCAAGAUGUGGAUAUAAGACCCUGUUCUCCAUGGUGAUGUAUUUAAAACCCUUCUCAAUGGCAGGGCUUGUGUAAUAUCUGUGAAUUUGGAUUUCAACAAGAAAAGAAAUACAAAAACAAAAAAUCCAUAGCAAAUGCUGAGAGAAUAGAGUGGUGAAACAGUAGUCAAACACAUGUAAAACAUUAUGGAUCUGUCCUGGGUAAACCUUGCAAGGGCAGAGACUUUCAGAAUUGUUUUAUGAAGCAGCGAGGCUAAUGACACCUCAUUCAUAGACUCUAAUUGUCCUCCAUGGGGAGUGCAGAACAGAACCUAGGCUUGAACUUAAGGUGCCUUCCACGGUGCAUUUGAGGUAUUCUGGCCACAUCAUCUGACAGUCUCACAGCUCUAGAAAAGGAAUUUUAUUUAUUUUAUUUUUUUCUGUGAAAACAUGAAAUGAAACAUACAUCCUGAAUUGUUCUGAACUGAGUUUGAAAGUACACAAGUCCUUAGCCAUUCGUUAAGAUGAAUGCUCUUCUUCUGUCUCUGAGAUUCAUACAGUUAAAUAUGCAAGAAUGUAAAUCUGUCAUAAUGUAAUAGAGACAUGCUGUCCAUUGAUAUUCAGUGACUUCAUAUACAGGUGCUCUGCUAUGAACCACCAAAACCUGGGCUGAGAGCUAGUAUUUCCCUCUCUUUUGGGGUGUCUGAUGCCAUUACACUGUCUGAAAUGAAAUGAUUAUGUUCCCUUGAUGUUCCACAUUGGAUUUUCACCUAGCCUAAAUGUAAAUAUCAUAGAUGCUUGCAUGCACAUGUGUGGUUCACCCAUUGUUUGAAAUGCAGCUGUUAUGAUUUUCUUAAUCUUAGGUAAACACAGCAUGUAUAAAUCUUCUGCUACCUUCCACCAG